Molecule: long non-coding RNA, 375 nt
Filed under: Androctonus crassicauda
Lineage: Eukaryota; Metazoa; Arthropoda; Arachnida; Scorpiones; Buthidae
Source: RNAcentral
AGUAAAUCGGCGAGUAAAAAUUUAUUACUGUAAAACCUAUUUUGGCCGUGUCUAAGUUAUGUCUUCGGUAGAUGUGCGGGUUAAAGGUUGUGACAAUUCAAUUCUUGUUAAUGAAGCAACGUCUCUCUCUCCUAUGGCGGAGUUCUCUCUGCAUUUCUAUCAGCCAACUAUAGGGAUUAAGUACGGAUCAGGAAGUUUGACGUGGGUUUUCGUGGUUCAAAAAUUCGGACGAAAUAAUCUCCGGGUCAUUAUUUUAAUGGAUGCAAUUUGCAGUUUGCUAACGAAAGAUUUACGAGAUGCAGAUUUUUAACUGCAACUUCCGUACUUGUUUCUUCUUCGAACGUCCUAAAUUAUAAAAUCAAUCGAACGAAUUCG